GACGAACGCUGGCGGCGUGCCUAAUACAUGCAAGUAGAACGCUGAAGAGAGGAGCUUGCUCUUCUUGGAUGAGUUGCGAACGGGUGAGUAACGCGUAGGUAACCUGCCUGGUAGCGGGGGAUAACUAUUGGAAACGAUAGCUAAUACCGCAUAACAACAGUUGUUGCAUGACAGCUGUUUAAAAGAUGCAAUUGCAUCACUACCAGAUGGACCUGCGUUGUAUUAGCUAGUUGGUGAGGUAACGGCUCACCAAGGCGACGAUACAUAGCCGACCUGAGAGGGUGAUCGGCCACACUGGGACUGAGACACGGCCCAGACUCCUACGGGAGGCAGCAGUAGGGAAUCUUCGGCAAUGGGGGGAACCCUGACCGAGCAACGCCGCGUGAGUGCAGAAGGUUUUCGGAUCGUAAAGCUCUGUUGUAAGAGAAGAACGGGUGUGAGAGUGGAAAGUUCACACUGUGACGGUAUCUUACCAGAAAGGGACGGCUAACUACGUG
RNAcentral lists this ribosomal RNA (497 nucleotides) under uncultured bacterium. RNAcentral describes it as "partial 16S ribosomal RNA". It matches the Rfam family "Bacterial small subunit ribosomal RNA", at positions 28 to 507 of the family's 1533-position model. The record is from RNAcentral.